RNAcentral lists this ribosomal RNA (250 nucleotides) under uncultured prokaryote. RNAcentral's name for it is "partial 16S ribosomal RNA". It matches the Rfam family "Bacterial small subunit ribosomal RNA", at positions 524 to 773 of the family's 1533-position model. The record is from RNAcentral.
UACGUAGGUGGCGAGCGUUAUCCGGAUUUACUGGGUGUAAAGGGUGUGUAGGCGGGUCUGCAAGUCAGAUGUGAAAAUUAUGGGCUCAACUCAUAACUUGCAUUUGAAACUGCGGAUCUUGAGUGUCGGAGAGGUAGGUGGAAUUCCCAGUGUAGCGGUGAAAUGCGUAGAUAUUGGGAGGAACACCAGAGGCGAAGGCGGCUUACUGGACUGUAACUGACGUUGGGGCUCGAAGGCGUGGGGAGCAAAC